GUCCCUGUAGUGCAAUGGAUAGCACGUUGGACUUCUCAUCCAAAGGUCGAGGAUUUAAAUCUUCCCUGGGAUG
This is a non-coding RNA of Trichonephila clavipes, 73 nucleotides long. The record is from the annotation of a GenBank genome assembly. Lineage: Eukaryota; Metazoa; Arthropoda; Arachnida; Araneae; Nephilidae.